GAGUUUGAUCCUGGCUCAGAACGAACGCUGGCGGCAGGCCUAACACAUGCAAGUCGAGCGCUACCUUCGGGUGGAGCGGCGGACGGGUUAGUAACGCGUGGGAAUAUACCCUUCACUAUGGAAUAGCCUCGGGAAACUGAGAGUAAUACCAUAUACGCCCUUCGGGGGAAAGAUUUAUCGGUGAAGGAUUAGCCCGCGUAAGAUUAGAUAGUUGGUGGGGUAAUGGCCUACCAAGUCUACGAUCUUUAGCUGGUUUUAGAGGAUGAUCAGCAACACUGGGACUGAGACACGGCCCAGACUCCUACGGGAGGCAGCAGUGGGGAAUCUUAGACAAUGGGCGCAAGCCUGAUCUAGCCAUGCCGCGUGAGUGAUGAAGGUCUUAGGAUCGUAAAGCUCUUUCGCUAGGGAUGAUAAUGACACUACCUAUAAAAGAAGCCCGGCUAACCUCCAUUGCAACAAR
RNAcentral lists this ribosomal RNA (460 nucleotides) under uncultured Sulfitobacter sp. Its description in RNAcentral is "bacterial SSU rRNA". It matches the Rfam family "Bacterial small subunit ribosomal RNA", at positions 9 to 515 of the family's 1533-position model. The record is from RNAcentral. Lineage: Bacteria; Pseudomonadati; Pseudomonadota; Alphaproteobacteria; Rhodobacterales; Roseobacteraceae.